ACAUCGGAAUCUGCCUAUUCGUGGGGGAUAACGUAGGGAAACUUACGCUAAUACCGCAUACGACCUUCGGGUGAAAGCAGGGGACCUUCGGGCUUUGCGCGGAUAGAUGAGCCGAUGUCGGAUUAGCUAGUUGGCGGGGUAAAGGCCCACCAAGGCGACGAUCCGUAGCUGGUCUGAGAGGAUGAUCAGCCACACUGGAACUGAGACACGGUCCAGACUCCUACGGGAGGCAGCAGUGGGGAAUAUUGGACAAUGGGCGCAAGCCUGAUCCAGCCAUACCGCGUGGGUGAAGAAGGCCUUCGGGUUGUAAAGCCCUUUUGUUGGGAAAGAAAAGCAGUCGGUUAAUACCCGGUUGUUCUGACGGUACCCAAAGAAUAAGCACCGGCUAACUUCGUGCCAGCAGCCGCGGUAAUACGAAGGGUGCAAGCGUUACUCGGAAUUACUGGGCGUAAAGCGUGCGUAGGUGGUUGUUUAAGUCUGUUGUGAAAGCCCUGGGCUCAACCUGGGAAUGGCAGUGGAUACUGGGCGACUAGAGUGUGGUAGAGGGUAGUGGAAUUCCCGGUGUAGCAGUGAAAUGCGUAGAGAU
Molecule: ribosomal RNA, 586 nt
Filed under: Stenotrophomonas sp. RMN-Slr-22
Lineage: Bacteria; Pseudomonadati; Pseudomonadota; Gammaproteobacteria; Lysobacterales; Lysobacteraceae
Description: bacterial SSU rRNA
Rfam family: Bacterial small subunit ribosomal RNA
Source: RNAcentral